This 496-nucleotide ribosomal RNA is filed under the name uncultured bacterium. Its description in RNAcentral is "partial 16S ribosomal RNA". It matches the Rfam family "Bacterial small subunit ribosomal RNA", at positions 28 to 506 of the family's 1533-position model. The record is from RNAcentral.
GAUGAACGCUGGCGGCGUGCCUAAUACAUGCAAGUCGAGCGAACAGAUGAGGAGCUUGCUCCUCUGACGUUAGCGGCGGACGGGUGAGUAACACGUGGAUAACCUACCUAUAAGACUGGGAUAACUUCGGGAAACCGUAGCUAAUACCGGAUAAUAUUUUGAACCGCAUGGUUCAAUAGUGAAAGACGGUUUUGCUGUCACUUAUAGAUGGAUCCGCGCGGCAUUAGCUAGUUGGUAAGGUAACGGCUUACCAAGGCAACGAUGCGUAGCCGACCUGGGAGGGGGAUCGGCAACACUGGAACUGAGAAAGGGUCAAGACUCCUAGGGGAGGAAGCAGUAGGAAAUCUUCCGCAAUGGGGGAAGGCUGAAGGGAGAAAGGCCGGGGGGGGGAGGAAGGUCUUGGGAUGGUAAAACUCUGUAAUAAGGAAAAAAAAAAGGGGAAAGAAAUGAGGAAAGUCUGAAGGGAACCAAACAAAAAAGCAACGCUAAACAAGGU